Molecule: transfer RNA, 88 nt
Filed under: Pelodiscus sinensis (Chinese soft-shelled turtle)
Lineage: Eukaryota; Metazoa; Chordata; Testudines; Trionychidae
Rfam family: tRNA
About the family: Transfer RNA (tRNA) molecules are approximately 80 nucleotides in length. Their secondary structure includes four short double-helical elements and three loops (D, anti-codon, and T loops). Further hydrogen bonds mediate the characteristic L-shaped molecular structure. tRNAs have two regions of fundamental functional importance: the anti-codon, which is responsible for specific mRNA codon recognition, and the 3' end, to which the tRNAs corresponding amino acid is attached (by aminoacyl-tRNA synthetases). tRNAs cope with the degeneracy of the genetic code in two manners: having more than one tRNA (with a specific anti-codon) for a particular amino acid; and 'wobble' base-pairing, i.e. permitting non-standard base-pairing at the 3rd anti-codon position.
Source: Rfam by way of RNAcentral
GGCUCUGAGGUACAAUGGAAAGCAGUGGUGGUUAGUUUGAGCUUGGCCUAUGCUUCAAAGGUUGUGGGUUCAAAUCCCACCAGAGUCA